CAAAGUGUAGCUUAACUAAAGCAUCUGGUCUACACCCAGAAGAUUUCAUUAUAAUGACCGCUUUGA
Molecule: transfer RNA, 66 nt
Filed under: Galegeeska rufescens (East African long-eared elephant shrew)
Lineage: Eukaryota; Metazoa; Chordata; Mammalia; Macroscelidea; Macroscelididae
Description: Elephantulus rufescens (East African long-eared elephant shrew) tRNA-Val
Rfam family: tRNA
About the family: Transfer RNA (tRNA) molecules are approximately 80 nucleotides in length. Their secondary structure includes four short double-helical elements and three loops (D, anti-codon, and T loops).
Source: RNAcentral